CCCCCAUGCAGAACACGUGGUCGAUAGGCCGGACGUGGAAGCCGUGCGAGCGGUGGAGCCGACCGGUACUAACGGG
RNAcentral lists this ribosomal RNA (76 nucleotides) under Bifidobacterium platyrrhinorum. Its description in RNAcentral is "partial 23S ribosomal RNA". Lineage: Bacteria; Bacillati; Actinomycetota; Actinomycetes; Bifidobacteriales; Bifidobacteriaceae. The record is from RNAcentral.